Molecule: ribosomal RNA, 491 nt
Filed under: uncultured bacterium
Lineage: Bacteria
Description: bacterial SSU rRNA
Rfam family: Bacterial small subunit ribosomal RNA
Source: RNAcentral
AGAGUUUGAUCCUGGCUCAGAAUAAACGCUGGCGGCGUGCUUAACACAUGCAAGUCGAGCGAGAAAGCUCUUUCGGGAGUGAGUAAAGCGGCGGACGAGUUAGUAACACGUGAGAAUCUACCCCUCAGUGAAGAAUACCUUCGAGAAAUUGAAGUUAAUGCUGCAUACGUCUCUACAGAGAGAUCUGUUUAGAGAAAGGUGGCCUCUUUGCUGCCGCUGAGGGAUGAGCUUGCGGACUAUUAGCUAGUUGGUGGGGUAAUGGCCUACCAAGGCGAUGAUGGUUAGCCGGCCUGAGAGGGUGUACGGCAACGCUGGAACUUAGACACGGUCCAGACUCCUACGGGGGGCAGCAGUGAGGAAUAUUGCGCAAUGGGCGAAAGCCUGACGCAGCGACGCCGCGUGGAGGAUGAAGGUCUUCGGAUUGUAAACUUCUGUUAAGUGGGAAGAAAGACUUUUUCUAAAUAGGAAAAAGGGAUGACUGUACCAUAGAG